GCUGCAUGGCUGUCGUCAGCUCGUGUCGUGAGAUGUUGGGUUAAGUCCCGGCAACGAGCGCAACCCCUGCAUUCAGUUGCCAUCGGGUGAAGCCGGGCACUCUGGAAGGACUGCCAUCGACAAGAUGGAGGAAGGUGGGGACGACGGUCAAGUCAUCAUGGCCCUUAUGUCCAGGGCGACACACGUGCUACAAUGGCCGGCACAACGGGAAGCGAGUUCGCGAGGACGAGCGGAUCCCUUAAAGCCGGUCGCAGUUCGGAUUGAAGUCUGCAACUCGACUUCAUGAAGCUGGAAUCGCUAGUAAUCGCAGAUCAGCCAAGCUGCGGUGAAUACGUUCCCGGGCCUU
Molecule: ribosomal RNA, 346 nt
Filed under: uncultured Synergistaceae bacterium
Lineage: Bacteria; Thermotogati; Synergistota; Synergistia; Synergistales; Synergistaceae
Description: bacterial SSU rRNA
Rfam family: Bacterial small subunit ribosomal RNA
Source: RNAcentral